UGUCGGGAACUCUAAGGAGACUGCCGGUGACAAACCGGAGGAAGGUGGGGAUGACGUCAAGUCAUCAUGGCCCUUACGAGUAGGGCUACACACGUGCUACAAUGGCCGGUACAGAGGGCUGCAAACUCGCGAGAGUAAGCUAAUCUCACAAAACCGGUCGUAGUCCGGAUCGCAGUCUGCAACUCGACUGCGUGAAGUCGGAAUCGCUAGUAAUCGUGAAUCAGAAUGUCACGGUGAAUACGUUCCCGGGCCUUGUACACACCGCCCGUCACACCAUGGGAGUGGGUUGCACCAGAAGUAGCUAGUCUAACCUUCGGGAGGACGGUUACCACGGUGUGAUUCAUGACUGGGGUGAAGUCGUAACAAGGUAGCCCUAGGGGAACCUGGGGCUGGAUCACCUCCUUAAACG
RNAcentral lists this small RNA (409 nucleotides) under uncultured bacterium. Its description in RNAcentral is "bacterial SSU rRNA". It matches the Rfam family "Bacterial small subunit ribosomal RNA", at positions 1129 to 1533 of the family's 1533-position model. The record is from RNAcentral.